UACAGAGGGUGCAAACGUUGCUCGGAAUUAUUGGGCGUAAAGCGCGUGUAGGCGGCUCGUUAAGUUGGACGUGAAAGCCCUUGGCUCAACCAAGGAAGUGCAUCCAAAACUGGCGAGCUCGAGUCCCGAAGAGGGUGGCGGAAUGCCGAGUGUAGAGGUGAAAUUCGUAGAUACUCGGUAGAACACCAGUGGCGAAGGCGGCCACCUGGGAGGCGACUGACGCUGAGACGCGAAAGCGUGGGGAGCAAACAGG
Molecule: ribosomal RNA, 253 nt
Filed under: uncultured bacterium
Lineage: Bacteria
Description: partial 16S ribosomal RNA
Rfam family: Bacterial small subunit ribosomal RNA
Source: RNAcentral